Long non-coding RNA from Columba livia (rock pigeon), 249 nucleotides. RefSeq lists it as uncharacterized. The record is from RefSeq and is a predicted model, not a curated record. The transcript has 3 exons. NCBI's taxonomy places the organism in Eukaryota, Metazoa, Chordata, Aves, Columbiformes, Columbidae.
UUUUGGAGGAACUUUUCUGCAUGUUUUUGACUUCUAAGCAUUGUUCUUUACAACCAGACACCAUAGACAGAUGAAGCCUCUGUCACCAGAGAUGGGAAGUCUCUCCAUUACUAUUCAUUGAUCAUCUUUCUGGCCUGCUCAUGGAUUGAUUCUGUCACCCAGAGGAGUUACAGAGCACCUUGGAAGGACCUCCCUGUAGGUAUAUUUUGUUUACGUGCGCAGUCAGUGCCGAACUCCAUUCCCUGCCAA